CCGAGUUUACAACUCCCAAACCCUGUGAACAUACCUAUAUGUUGCCUCGGCGGAUCAGCCGCGCCCCGUAAAACGGGACGGCCCGCCGCAGGAUCCACAAACUCUGUUUUUAUUGUAACUUCUGAGUAACAAAACAAAUAAAUCA
This 145-nucleotide unclassified non-coding RNA is filed under the name soil metagenome. RNAcentral describes it as "partial internal transcribed spacer 1". The record is from RNAcentral.